CAAGUAGACUGGGUAGUUACGCGGCAGACAUUUGCCGCGAGGAAAGUCCGGGCUCCACAGGGCAGAGUGCUGGUUAAUGGCCAGUCGGGGCAACCCGAAGGAAAGUGCCACAGAGACAUACCGCCAUUUAGAUUGCAUCAAAAUGGCAAGGGUGAAAAGGUGAGGUAAGAGCUCACCAGCGGCCUGGUGACAGGCACGGCUAGGUAAACCCCACUUGGAGCAAGACCUAAUAGGGGAGAGUUAAGAGCUGCCCGCUCGUUCUCCCGGGUUGGUCGCAACCGGCGCGUUAGCGCCAGCGAGACUGAUGGCAACAUCAGCCCUAGAUAGAUUACUACCACCGCUCUCGCGGUACAGAACCCGGCUUACAGGUCUACUUGACAC
This 381-nucleotide RNase P RNA is filed under the name Selenomonadales bacterium. RNAcentral's name for it is "Bacterial RNase P class A". It matches the Rfam family "Bacterial RNase P class A". Rfam says of the family: Ribonuclease P (RNase P) is a ubiquitous endoribonuclease, found in archaea, bacteria and eukarya as well as chloroplasts and mitochondria. Its best characterised activity is the generation of mature 5'-ends of tRNAs by cleaving the 5'-leader elements of precursor-tRNAs. Cellular RNase Ps are ribonucleoproteins. The record is from Rfam by way of RNAcentral. Lineage: Bacteria; Bacillati; Bacillota; Negativicutes; Selenomonadales.